AAUCGCCUAAUUACUCGAAGACUUGCGUUCCUACGUGAGGUAUCAGUAGAGUGAUUAGGCGAUU
This 64-nucleotide non-coding RNA is filed under the name unclassified sequences. Its description in RNAcentral is "DUF3800-VIII RNA". It matches the Rfam family "DUF3800-VIII RNA". From Rfam's summary of the family: Bacteroidetes, Cyanobacteria, Firmicutes, Planctomycetes (1 example), Proteobacteria, Tenericutes (1 example). Nearby to DUF3800 The record is from Rfam by way of RNAcentral.